CUCGAAGUUUCUUGCGGGUGGAUUCAGUCAGGAGUCUGCGACCCUCCUUCCAUUUUAACCUCUCAUCAAUGAGCGGGGCCAUGGCGGGGAGGUUAAAACUCGUAGAGGCCUGACGCAUUUCCAACCCGUACGAAGAACGCCGCAGCCGGUUGGGUAGCUGCGCGUGUCGGCCAUGAGGUCGGGCGCUGGAAGUAGACCGUUUCUCGCUAAAAAGUGGCGUUUGCCGGUUGUUUAUCCAGCCCGUCCGUGGCGCGACACCCGACCGAGGUAAAGGUCUUAAUCUGUUGGAUCUCAGUAAUCGUACCUUCACGGGGUCAAUACCGUGAGCGUAGCGGCGGACAGGUGUGUUGCUGCGCAAGGCUACUUUCGUCCUCGUACAGGGUAGGGCGUAGUUUCCACCGGUAGUCCGUGUCAGUUACGCAAGGGUGUUUCGAUGGCUAGCGGCGAGUAGGUCGGUCACCCACCCGACCCGUCUUGAAACACGGACCAAGGAGUCUAACAUGUGCGCAAGUCAUGGGGUCUUGAAUAGGCCCAGAGGCAUAAUGAAAGUGAGCUACAGUCUCGGACUUUAAUUAAAGUUACCGUUGCUGUGUUGGGAAUUCCCGAGGCAUUAGUACCUGAGGAAUGCACCAACGACCCGCCCUGUUCUUUCUAAGUGUGGACGGAGUUUGAGCGCACACGUUGGGACCCGAAAGAUGGUGAACUAUGCCUGGGCAGGACGAAGCCAGAGGAAACUCUGGUGGAGGUCCGCAGCGGUU
This 758-nucleotide ribosomal RNA is filed under the name Antrodiaetus pacificus. RNAcentral describes it as "eukaryotic LSU rRNA". It matches the Rfam family "Eukaryotic large subunit ribosomal RNA", at positions 504 to 885 of the family's 3401-position model. Lineage: Eukaryota; Metazoa; Arthropoda; Arachnida; Araneae; Antrodiaetidae. The record is from RNAcentral.